Molecule: long non-coding RNA, 347 nt
Organism: Puma concolor (puma)
Lineage: Eukaryota; Metazoa; Chordata; Mammalia; Carnivora; Felidae
Source: RefSeq, a predicted model, not a curated record
ACCUGAGCCGAAGUCUGACAUUCAACUCACUGAGCCACCCAGUGCAAUCGGGCCCCACCCCGGACCAUCUGAAUCUGAAUCUGCCUGUGAACCAGAGACUUCAGUGACUCAAAGGCACAGCUAGGCACACUCAGAAGUGCGGCUCCUCGAAGUCCUUGCUCCUGCCCCCUCAUGUCCUGCUGUCAUCCAGGCCACCUCCACGAGCAGGAGCCUCUGGGGCCGUGCCAGAAGGAGUGGCCCUAUGUCCCCUCAGCUUCCUCCGUGCGUGCUCCACUCUGUCCUUCACCACGAUCCACUUUCCCUUUUCGACCCUUUGGAGAGGGGCGCCUGGGUGGCUCAGUUGGUUG